Molecule: transfer RNA, 88 nt
Filed under: Cordylochernes scorpioides
Lineage: Eukaryota; Metazoa; Arthropoda; Arachnida; Pseudoscorpiones; Chernetidae
Description: tRNA-Val
Source: RNAcentral
UGUCCAAUGCGGGGAUCGAACCCGGGUCGUAGUGGUCGUAAACCAAACAGUUUAACCAGCAUUCCACCGACCCGUGAAACAAACAAAC